RNAcentral lists this long non-coding RNA (211 nucleotides) under Lupinus angustifolius (narrow-leaved blue lupine). RNAcentral describes it as "long non-coding RNA (LANG_LNC001879)". The record is from RNAcentral. Lineage: Eukaryota; Viridiplantae; Streptophyta; Magnoliopsida; Fabales; Fabaceae.
UUCUCAGAAUGGGUGCAAGGAUGCGUUCUGCUUGUAGGGUGGCAAAACGUUCGGCAUAGGUCAUGGGAAUAGGGUCAAAUAUUCUUCUUUCUUGGGUUUGGAAUUGUGCAGAUAGAUUAUGGUUUUGGGUUUGGUUGAUAGUUGGAUCUAGGUGGUCGGGGUUGAUAUUGGUUGGGUCGUGGUUGGUUAUAUUGAGGUGUUUGAUUUUGUU